This 436-nucleotide ribosomal RNA is filed under the name Parvimonas micra. RNAcentral's name for it is "bacterial SSU rRNA". It matches the Rfam family "Bacterial small subunit ribosomal RNA", at positions 31 to 450 of the family's 1533-position model. Lineage: Bacteria; Bacillati; Bacillota; Tissierellia; Tissierellales; Peptoniphilaceae. The record is from RNAcentral.
GAACGCUGGCGGCGUGCUUAACACAUGCAAGUCGAACGUGAUUUUUGUGGAAAUUCUUUCGGGAAUGGAAAUGAAAUGAAAGUGGCGAACGGGUGAGUAACACGUGAGCAACCUACCUUACACAGGGGGAUAGCCGUUGGAAACGACGAUUAAUACCGCAUGAGACCACAGAAUCGCAUGAUAUAGGGGUCAAAGAUUUAUCGGUGUAAGAAGGGCUCGCGUCUGAUUAGCUAGUUGGAAGGGUAAAGGCCUACCAAGGCGACGAUCAGUAGCCGGUCUGAGAGGAUGAACGGCCACAUUGGAACUGAGACACGGUCCAAACUCCUACGGGAGGCAGCAGUGGGGAAUAUUGCACAAUGGGGGGAACCCUGAUGCAGCGACGCCGCGUGAGCGAAGAAGGUUUUCGAAUCGUAAAGCUCUGUCCUAUGAGAAGAUA